UCCAUUAAUCUUUUCGAUUUGUUUGUUUGUCUUUUCCUGCUAUUUGCAAUAACUCUGGAAGAUGGAAAUUUAAUCAGGUUUUGGUAAAGCGUGAAUUCAACUUUCAAGGAAGAGUCUCGGAUUGGAUCUUUAACUCUGUGAGAAUGGAGGCCGAGCUUGCGCGCGGCGUUGAAGGAGUGUUUCGGUCUUCGGCCAAGGCCAGAUCAGUCAGAGCUCAAGCUUGUGGAGGAGAUAUCGAGGAUGUGGCUCCUGCCAAAAUCCAACACAAAUCUUCUGGAUCUGUCCUGCCAUAUGUUGGUGUUGCCUGCUUGGGUGCCAUUUUGUUUGGAUAUCAUCUAGGGGUGGUGAACGGUGCUCUUGAGCACCUCUCCAAGGAUCUUGGGAUUGCUGAAAACACUGUCCUACAAGGAUGGGUAGUCAGCACACUUCUUGCUGGUGCCACUGUUGGGUCAUUUACUGGGGGUUCUUUGGCUGAGAAGUUUGGCAGAACAAAAGCUUUUCAACUGGAUGCUAUUCCACUCACUGUAGGAGCUUUUCUUUGUGCAACAGCCCAUAGUGUGGAGACAAUGAUAAUUGGGCGUAUGCUUGCUGGUAUUGGAAUUGGUAUCUCAUCUGCUAUUGUGCCACUGUACAUAUCUGAGAUAUCACCAACUGAAAUUCGGGGCACACUUGGAUCAGUGAACCAACUUUUUAUUUGUAUUGGGAUUCUUGCUGCAUUGGUGGCUGGGUUACCAUUGGCAGGAAAUCCAUCAUGGUGGAGGUCAAUGUUUGGUGUUGCCAUUAUCCCCUCUGUUUUAUUAGCAUUGGGCAUGUCAUUUUCUCCAGAUAGCCCUAGGUGGCUUUUUCAGCAAGGGAAACUAUCUCAAGCUGAAAUGGCUAUUAAAACACUCUUUGGAAAAGAAAGAGUUCCAGAAGUUAUGAAUGAUUUAAAUGCAGCAAAUCAUGGUUCUUCAGAACUAGAAGCAGGAUGGCUUGAUCUUUUCGGUAGCCGCUACUGGAGAGUUGUCAGUGUUGGUGCUACACUUUUCUUGUUCCAACAGUUAGCUGGAAUAAAUGCUGUUGUAUAUUAUUCUACCUCUGUCUUUCACAGCAUUGGAAUUUCGUCUGAUGUAGCUGCUAGUGCUCUUGUUGGGGCGUCGAAUGUUUUUGGUACAGCAAUAGCAUCCUUUUUGAUGGACAAACAAGGAAGGAAAAGUCUUUUAAUUACAAGCUUUACUGGAAUGCUAAUGAGUUUUCUAGACUUUGUCCAUCCCAAGUGCAUGGUAAUCUGUGGAAAUAUUUCCCUCCUUCAUCCUGUGUAUUAUGGAGUCCUUAGCCCAAAUAUGAAGAGCUGGCAACCUCCAUUUUUAAUUUGAAGGAGUUAGCGCAGGUGCAGUAAUUGCUAACGAAGUAGGAUAAUUUCCUUUUCAAAUUGAAGUAGUGGUUUCCUGAUCCCAGUAAUAUUUUAGAGGCUUCAUUCUUUCCAUAACAAAUUCUGGGGUAAAGCAGGCCUAAGAAAGUAUCAAUCUGGAGUCUCCAGUCAGAGACACGUAGUUCCAGCAAGUUCAGUUAUGGUAACAUAUCUAUGUAUGCUUUUAUAUGACUGAGAAAACAUAUGUGAACUAUCUUUUAUAUAUUUUCCUCGGCCAAAGUUGCAGGGAUUGCCUUUUGUUUUCCUUCCUGCAAAGUGUUUCAUCUAUUUCAUGGUUAGAUAUGUUUCUUGAUCAGUUAUAUAUGAAUGGUAGAAAAAACAAAAAGAAAAGCUGUAAAUUUGUUUAGUCUACUAAAAAAUAUGUUUUCAGGAGUGGGUAGGAUUAUUGUCAAUGAUUGGCCAGCUAGAAUCCAUGUAGCCAACCCCACCUAGUAGGAUUAAGGCUUGGUAUGUUGUUGUCACCAUUGGAGUGGGUAUAUAAUUAAAGAAAGAUUUGGUCUCCCAUACUGAGGGUAAAGAAAACUUUAUAGUGUCUAGUUUUUUGUUGUUACUGCAUGGAAUUGUUGUUAUUUGGUAGACUAACAUCUCUGGAACUAUUUUCCAUCAAGCAGAAUAUAUUUCUGUAUUCCUUUUGGCCGUGCUUCCAUUUUUCAUACCAAAUUUGUUACUAAAAAAUUGAUUUCAAUUCUCUUGGUUGUCUCUCUGUUCAAUCAUCCUUGAAUUAAAAUUUGAAAACAAACAGGCGGCUUCAAUGUUGUUGCUUUCCCUGUCCCUCUCUUGGGAGGUUCUGGCACCAUACUCUGGUACCCUUGCGGUUCUUGGGACUGUUCUUUAUGUAACGUCCUUUUCACUUGGUGCUGGUCCGGUGCCUGCUCUUCUACUUCCGGAGAU
RNA transcript from Diospyros lotus (date-plum), 2302 nucleotides. It is a transcript of the gene named plastidic glucose transporter 4, with no coding region annotated. The transcript has 12 exons. The record is from RefSeq and is a predicted model, not a curated record. NCBI's taxonomy places the organism in Eukaryota, Viridiplantae, Streptophyta, Magnoliopsida, Ericales, Ebenaceae.